ACUUGCAGUGCAUGUAUUUAACAUUUUAAAGAAUGAGUUUGAUGUCUAAUCUCGGAAGCUAAGCAGGGUUGGGCCUGAUUACUACUUGGAUGGGAGACCACCUAGGAAGACCAGGUGCUGUAGGUG
Molecule: ribosomal RNA, 126 nt
Organism: Pteropus vampyrus (large flying fox)
Lineage: Eukaryota; Metazoa; Chordata; Mammalia; Chiroptera; Pteropodidae
Source: Ensembl